Manis pentadactyla (Chinese pangolin) is the source of this 5138-nucleotide long non-coding RNA. RefSeq lists it as uncharacterized. NCBI's taxonomy places the organism in Eukaryota, Metazoa, Chordata, Mammalia, Pholidota, Manidae. The record is from RefSeq and is a predicted model, not a curated record. The transcript is spliced from 4 exons.
UGUCCCGGUUUUACAGAAGAAAGCAAGGCCUGCUUAGGUAACAUACAUGGCCAAGGUUGGCAGUAGGACACCACAGGGCCAGAAUCCCUAUCUUCCCAACUUGCCCAACCUUUCUCACCUGGACAUUAGCUGAGUGCAUGUGUUCCAUCCUAAUUAUCCUUAAAAUUAUCAAUGAAGACAUGCUCCAGGGAGAAAAGACAGCAAAGAUGCUACAGAGCAAUGCUGCCCCUGAGUGACCAAGAACAGUGCUCCCCUCUUGGCCUUGUUAGAAAUAGGCUGGGGGCAGACAGAGGGCCUUGUGGCCAGCCACUAAGCAAUCCCCAUGGCUGUCCUAUUUCAUCUGAGGGUCUCUAGUUAUGAGAGAGACUCUGAAGUGCUGGGGAUGGGAGGCAGCCCUGGGAUCCAGUCCAGGCUGGUAUGACUUUGGGAAUGUCACUUCCUUCCCAUGGGCCUCAGUUUCCCCAUCUGUAAAAUGACAGGAGCUGGGGCUGGACCAGCUCAUCUUUAAGGGCUCUUCCAGGCUUGGUUAUUAACGUCACUUAAAUAUUUUACAGUUUGUAACCAUCUUACUUGAUCCUCUGACCCAGCACCUCUCAACCUAUUUUCUGUUGGCCCUCAUGUGACAGGGUUGUCAGACAUGUGACAUUUCCAUGGGCUACUUUCAUAUUCUAUCCCUCCCUCCUCUAUUAGCAUGCAAAUGAGGAAAGAUGCCAUUGUUGCAGGUUGGCCCUGGAUAUACUCUAAGUAGAAUGAUUUUUAACUCAAAUCAUUGGAAAUAUCAGUGCUUUUUCAUCAGCAAAUAAUUACAUUGCCAGGCUUCUCCUAACUGAUUCUGACCCACAAGUUUGUCUAGACACUGUAGAUCAAAGCCAUAGCUGUAACAAGCCCAAGAGGAGACAGCACUGGCUUCAGUUCCUGUAAGGAGCUAAAGCAAAUGAUAUUUUAAUAACUAAUGUCAACAUUUCUCCUAUGAUGGGAAAUGUAUUUUAAUAUGGUCUGAACUGGGGGAAGUAAGAUGCUGAGGACUUUGGAAGGCAGGACUUUCAAGAGGAGAGCUUGACUGCCCUGCACAGACUGCCUGGGAGAGAGGAGGGGAGGGCAGAGGCCAGCAGAGAGGUGAGGAAAGGAGCCAGCAAGGGUGUGGAAGGCUCUGCUAUGUCGGAUGGCUCUUUGACCUGUGCUUCUCGUGGUUUCAGAUACUCUCCUAAACUCCCCAGUGGAGUGUGUGUGUGUGUGUGUGUGAGAGAGAGAGAGAGAGAGAGAUGAAUCCAGCAAAUGAGGCUUUUGGACAACACAUAUUCUUAGGGCAGAAGCCAAAAAGCAGGGCAGAUGAUGAGACUUCAAACUCCUGAAAAUUUGUAGAAAUCUUAGAAGGCUCUAAAGUGCUCCAGUCCAUGGGACUGGGGGCUUCAGGCAACCCCAGCUACACCUGCAGUGCUGUCAAGGCCCCUUUUGGCACGGGGCUUUUCACCCAUUUUGCAGAUGAACAGCCAAGAGGGCUUCCCCAAACUGAGCAAAGCUGCCUCCUUCCUUCUACUGGAUCCUGGCUAGAUAUUUGUUCCCUAUGGACCCCUGAUCCUAAGUCCCUCCAUCUUCUCUUUCAAGUCCAUACUUAAUCACCAACUGAGUAAAUCCCUGGACAAUUCUAGCUUUGGCCCUUUCACAACAUUAAUUUAUUUGGGUUUUUGUUUUGAAAUAAUUUUAGAUUUACAAGAGUUAUAAAAAUAGUAAGAGAGUUUCCACAGGCAAUGUGCCCAGUUCACUUUAAUGUUAACAUCUUCCAUAACAUUUAUCUCAACUAAGAACAUUCAUUGGACACUAGUGAACUACUCAUAGUGCACUGACUUUAUUUGAAUUUCAUCAGCUUUUUCACGAAUGUCCUCUUUCUGUUCUAGGCUCCCAUCCAGGACACCACAUUGCAUUUAGUCAUGAUAGAUCCUUGGUCUCCAGGCUGUGAAUGCUCCCCAGUCUUUUCUUAUUUUUUAUGUUGAAUACCAUACAUUUUGGCUGUCCAUUUAUGCAUUUAUUGACUCAUCCAAUUGACCCAUCAACUCAUGUGGUUUCAGGCCCAGUGCCAGGUAUUGGGAACUCAGAAAUGAACCAGCUGAGGUCCCUGACCUCAAGUUGCUCAAAGACAAGGAGACUAGCAAGAGGCAGACCAUGAAAUCGGAGUGAGAAACACCACAGCAGGGGAAGGCACAGGCAGCAAGAGCUGAGCCUAUGUGUGUGCAUGGAAGGACUGGAGUCUGGAGCUGAAGCACAGAGCACCAGAGGGACAGCUCACCUUCCAGGCGCAUUUGCGAUUGUGUAAGGAUCUCGGUCAAUGAAGCAUCCCCACAGAGUAGACAAGCACCACUGUCCCAUGUUCAGGUCCACUCUUCAACAGUGAUGCAUAUGCUAUGUCUAUGGUGGGCAGGACUUGUAGGUUGAAUUUUGCACCCUUCACACCCAAAGGAAGAUUGAAGCCCUCAUCCCCAGUAUCUGUGAAUGUGAUGUUAUUUGGAAAUAGGGUGUUUACAAAUGUAAUCCAGUUGAGGUGAGGUCAUACUGGAUUAGAAUAUACCAUAAUCCAAUGACCAAUGUACUUAUAAAAUGAAAGAAAUCUGGACACAGAUACAUAGGGAGAACACCAGGUGACAAGGGAAGCAGAAACCAAAAUGAUGUGUCUACAAGCCAAGGAACACCAAGGAUUGCUGGCAACCAGCAAAAGCUAGAAAGAGCAAGGAAAGAUCUUUCCCUAGAGCGUUCAGAGAGAGCCUGGCCCAGCUAACAUCUUGAUUUUGGACUUGCAGCCCUCAGAACUGUGAGACAAUAAUUUCUGUUGUUCUAAGCCACCGGUUUGAGUAAUUUGUUACAGCAGCCUAGGAAAGGAACACAGCGGUUUCUGUGAUGUCUCCCAGUGAUCCCCAGCUCUUGGUAUUCAUGCCCUGGUAAAAUCCCCUCAUGCUGAUCGUGAGCUAAACUCAGUGACUCACUGCUAGCAAACAGAAUAAAGCAGAAGGGAUAGAUAACACUUCUGAGAUCAGACUAUUAAAGACUGUGGCUUCAGGCAUGCAUACACAUUCUCUCUUUGUCUCUCUCUGAUUCUUCUUGUUUACUUCCUCCGAUGAAUCAAGUUGCCAUGUUGUGAACUGUCAUAUGGAGAGUCCCGGGGUUAAGGAACCAGGGUGGCUUCUGGUCAACAGUCAGCAAGUUGCCUAGGUCUUCAGUCCAAUGCCCAUGAGGAAUGGAAUCCCGCCAACAGCGACAUUGACUAGCUUGGAAACAAAUCCUUUUCUAGUCGAGCUUUGAAUGCUGCCUGGUGAGAGACCUUGAGCCAGAGACUCCUACUAAGCUGAGCCCAGAUUCCUGACCCAUGGGAACUGUGAGAUAAUAAAUGUCCUAAGCCACUAAGUUUUGGGGUAAUUUGUUAAGCAUCACUAGAUAAUAGGUAACAAUCUAAUAGGAGCACUGGUAAUUAGCUCCAAUGUGCAUUUUCUUCCACCAAGCAAUUAACUGAGUUCUGACACUAGCUACCUGGAGAUAGCAUCAGAUUCAACAGGUUAAAGGCUCAGUCCUACAAGACUGUCCUCUCCCAAUUACUUCUGAUGCUUAUUGCAAGUCCAGGUUGUCACCUGUGCUUCUGACCAACUGACUACAAAUCGGAGGUUCUCACAACCCCUUGGGUUUAACUAAUUUGCUAGAGAGUCUCAUGAAACUCAGGAAAACAGUUUGUUUACUAGUUUACCAGUUUAUUACAAAAGGCUAUAACUCAGGAACAGCUAGAUGGAAGACACAUAGGACAAGUAUGGGGAAAAGGCACAGAGCUUCCAUGCCUUCUCCAGGUGUGCCAGUCUCCCCAAAUGUCCCUGUGUUUCCCAACCCAGAAGCCCUCUGAGUCCUGUCUUUUUGGGUUUCUAUGGUGGCUUCAUUACACAGGCAUGAUAGAUUAAAUCAUUGGCCACUGGAGACUGAACUCAAUCUCCAGCUCUUCUCCCCUCCCAGGGCAUCUGGGGGUGGGACUGAAGUUCCAACCUCUAAUCACAUGGCUGAUGCCCUUGGCAACCAGCUCCCAUCCUUAGGUAAGGUCCAAAAGUCACUUCAUUAACAUAACAAAAGACACCUUUAUUGCUCUCCUUUCAAGGGUUUUUGGAGCUCUGUGCCAGGAAUGGGAUGAAGACCAGAUAUAUAUUUCUUAUCAUAAAUCAUACUAUCCCAUCAGCAGUGGUAGAUUGCAGCCAAGUAGAAAUGUAGGCUCUUUUUUACCAAUCUGAAGGUUUUCCCUUCAGAGGUUUCAAGGGAGGUUGAAAAUCUACAUUUUUUUUAACAUGCACAAUGUCCAAUUAAAGCACUGUUUAAUUUUGUCACCCACUCCCCACUCCCUCAGAUAUUUGGCAGUGUCUGGAAACAUUUUUUAAUAUCAUAACCAGAGGGCACUACUGGCUUCUAGUGGCUAGAGAUGCUGCGAAACAUCCCACAUACUCAGGAGAGCACCAUGCCACCCCACCAGCAAAGAAAUGUCCGGUCUAAAAUAUCAAUAAUGCCAUUGUUGAAAAACCCUGAAUGACAGAAACACUGAUUGAACCAAACAAACAAGUCAGAUGACCAGAUUUGCUGGCAGCUUUCAAGUGCUGGUCUCACCUGGAAAUUCUUCACAUCAGCCCUUAGGAAGAAGGAUGUAUCAAUGAAGAUUCAGUUAGGAAAACAGAAACCAUGCUAGACAUUUCAAACAGAGAAGACUUAAUACAGGAGACUGAUUAAUUGAGUGUUGAAAAUAUGGAAGAGCAAAAAGGGAAUGUGGCCAGAACUCACUUGCAUGACCAUACCGACACAAGAGAGGCCACAAAAGUUGAUCUAACUAUGGACCCAGGCGGCAAGGAAUAAUUACCCACCUUUGUCAAAGACACCUACCUGUGCCAGGUGUUUUACAUACAUUACCCGUAAGAAGGAAGGGGCCUCAUUUAUACUUCCAAGUCCCUUCAUCCCAAAUUCUAAGCAUCUUCUGUCUUCUCCAGGCCAAGCAGAAGCAAAGAUACUUAAGUGGCAGAAAAAUGUGCAAGGCUGUAAUCAUCUUCUCCAAUAAAAAAAAUUAUUGUUCUUGUGCAUAACUGAGUGUUUACUACAUGUUUGCUGUGCUUUGCAUAAUUUGUGUCACUGAA